RNAcentral lists this long non-coding RNA (5914 nucleotides) under Sus scrofa (pig). RNAcentral describes it as "lncRNA (ENSSSCG00005025457.1)". The record is from RNAcentral. Lineage: Eukaryota; Metazoa; Chordata; Mammalia; Artiodactyla; Suidae.
UUUUUUUUUUUUUUUUUUUUUUGUUUUGUUAGGGCUGCAGCAGAUGGAGGGUUCUAGAUCCUGGGUCGAAUCAGAGCUGCAGCUGCCGGUCUACACCACAGCCACAGUCACACGGGAUCCAGCCACAUCUGCGACCUACACCACCACUCACAGCAACGCUGGAUCCUUCACCUGAGGAGCGAGACCAAGGAUCGAACCCACGUCCUCAUGGAUCCUAUUUGGAUUCAUUUCCCGCUGAGCCAUGAUGGGAAUUCCCACAUUCCCUUUUAGGAACUGCAUUUUCACUUUGUCAAUGUGUAUACAUGCAUAACGUCCUGCCCUAAACGUGGAGGUAAUUACAUGAACAGUUAUGACAUGAAAGUCUUGCUUCUUUGCCAAGACCUAUUUUUUUUUAAUCUUUGGGAUUGCAGAAAUAUCAAAUAAGAUAUGCAAUAUCCCUUUAUCCCUCGCUAUUUUAGGGCCGCACCCUCGGCAUAUGGAGGUGCCGCCCUCGAAAGACAAACUCAAUACCGUCAUCACCACGGUGACCAGAAGCGAGGGCUCUGACCAAACACAAGGCAACCCCUGCGGCAGCAGAAUCUGUCACCCAAAUGAAAGGCGAACUCACCUACCUGCUCAAGGAUGAGCUAGAUCACAGGCUUCGGCAGUAAAACCUCCCCCAACAAGAACUACUCAUGUGCAAGGAGACAGGUGAUCCUCUGACUCACUGCUUUUCUUUUUUCCCGGUAAGUUUUUUUCUGAAGGUGUCAGGAUAGAUAAAUGGCACCUAUUGCCCAGGCAGAAUUUCCAAAAGAGGAAAACUCUAGAGAGAGUUUGCCUUGGUGACGGCCUUUCCGAUUUGGGGAGGGUCCUUCCAAGGCCAGCGUUCUCCAUCUCUGCCCUCUGCCGAAUGGUUAUCUUUGGAAUCGACCCCAAACAGAAGGUGGCCGAGGACCCACCUCUCGCCCCUCCCUGCGAGCCCCCUGGCGUGAGCUCCGGCUCUGCCUCAGCACACAGAGCCCCACGUGUCUGCCCCCCCCCAGCGCCCCAAGAUGCCGAUCCCAGGCGCCCUCGGCCUCACAAAGGCUUUCUUUCAGCAGAGCCUGAGCCCCGCCAGCCUCACCCAGCCUCAGAUCUACACCGUCCUUUGUGAGGUGAAGGGGCUCCUGAGGUAACGAUCCCGCCGGGUAAAAUCAUCCACCGAAUUAAAGGUCAAGCGCUCCCGAGAACCCUGGGGGGGGGGGCUGCCCCCUGGGGGGCGCUGCCCGCCAAACCUCCCUGACUCGCAGCCUGUCAUCACCGAUCCGCCCAAACAAACCACCUGGGGCACCUGCACACGAGCCGGGCUCAGGAGGCGAGGGUGUGCAGGAAGUCAUGCACGGGAACCCGGACGGUGGCAGACGGCUUGCCCGCUUUCUAUUACCUGCUCAAAAGCCCUGUGGGACUCUGCUCGGGGGACGUGGGAUAAAGCAGUGUGCAAGGUGCCAGAAGUGGAGCUUCUGCUCAGAAGCGCAAUGAACCAGUGGGCGGGCACCUCGGACGCCCAGGGUCCAGCCUGGACAGCCCUCCUGGACUCACUGCGACGGGACGGGUCAAGCAGGGGUUGGGGAGGGUGCUGGAGGCGCCUGGCUGGAGAUGAAAGGCUGGAAGGAGCACCCAGCGGUGUCUGACAGGGAGCUCCCACGUGGGGACAAGGCUGACGCACAGGGCGGGCAGGAACCGCCCACAAGAAGAAUCUCCCGUGCUCCGGUCCACCCCCACGCCUUCGCUCCAUCCGCGGUCAGGGCGGAUGAGGCGCAUCCGACGGGGCGAGUCUUGGGGACGCUGGGGUGGCUUGAACGCAGGAGCCGGGGGACAACUUCAAAAGCACCAGGUACAGAGGCAAGAAUGUACGGUGGAGAAAAGACAGCCCCUUCCAUACAGGGUGCCGGGAAAACUGGACGGCCACUGUCCACGAAAGAAAUGAGAACCCUUCCUAACACCAGACACGAAAAUAAACUCCCAAUGGAUGAAGACCUACAUAUAAGACCAGAUACUAUAAAACUCUUAGAGGAGAAACACGGGCCAAACACAAAGACAGCAACAUCUUCUCAGAUCCACCUCUUAAGAGUAAUGACAAUAGAAACAAAAAUAAACAAAUGGACUUCGUUAAACGUUGCUGCACAGCAGAGGAAACCCUAAACAACACGAAAAGACAACCCACAGAAUGGGAGAAAAUCUUUGCAAAGGAAUCGACUGGACAAGGGAUUCAUCUCCACAAUUUAUAAGCACCUCCUCCUGCUCCAUACCAAAAAAACAAACAACCCCAUCAAAAAACGGACAGAAGAUCUAAAGAGAUGAUUCUCCAAAGAAGACAUACGGAUGGCCAAAAAACACAUGAAAAGAUGUUCAACAUCACUCAUGAUUAGGACAAUGCAAAUCAAAACCACGAUGAGGUACCACCUUACACCAGCCAGAAUGGCCAUCAUCCAAAAGUCCACAAACAAUAAGUGCUAGAGAGGGUGUGGAGAGAAAAGAACCCUAUUUCACUGUUGGUAGGAUUGUAAAUUGGUGCGACCACUGUGGAAAACAGUAUGGAGAUGCCUCAGAAAACUAAAACUAGAACUCCCAUUUGAUCCAGCAACCCCACUCCUGGGCAUCUAUCCAGAGAAAACCAUGACUCACAAAGACACAUGUACUCUGAUGUUCAUUGCAGCAGUAUCUGCAAUAGCCAAGACAUGGAAACCACCUAAAUAAAUGUCCAUCGACAGACGAGUGGAUCAAGAAGAUGUGGUCCAUAGACACAAUGGAAUAUUAGUCAGCCAUGAAAAGGAAAGAAAUAACAGCACUGGUAGCCACAUGGAUGGACCUGGAAAUUAUCAUGCUAAGUAAAGUCAGUCAGACAGUGAGACACCAAAACCAAAUGCUAUCACUGACAUGUAGAAUCUGAAAAAAGGACCCAGGGAACUUCUUUGCAGAACAGAUACAGACUCACAGACUUUGAAAAACUUAUGGUUUCCAAAGGAGAGAGGUUGGGGGGUGGGGGGAUGCACUGGGGGUGUCUGAUGGAAAUGCUGUAAAAUGUGGUUGUGAUGACUGCUGUACACCAAUAAAUGUAAUAAAAUGCAUUAAGUAAUUUAAAAAAUAAAGGAACUGCAUGAGGGGAAAAAACCCAAAAAGCAAAAACAAAAGCACCAGGUGUCUGUUCAUGCCCUCUGUCCUAUAAGAACGUAAGCCAGGUACCCAAGGGACUUCCGCCUCUGUGCCUUAAGGAUGGAGCAGCCCAUGUGGCAUCCUGACCCCCCAACCCCGCACAGAACUGAGAUCCCACCUGUGAAGUGGGGGGAAGGGGACGCUCCUGGGAUUGGUGUGGCAGAAGCCUCCAGAGUGUCGGUUUUAUCAUUCCGGCAAGGGUCGCCUGGGCAAAAAGAACCUGCCUGUUUACGUAAGAACAUACCUGUGUCGUCAAGUUAGUCAACUUGCUCAAGACUCCUUGAGGACAAUCCUCCCUCUGUCACCUUCAUCUCCCUCCUCCACGCGCCUGCGUGUUGGCUUCUGGGAUCCCAUGUGGGCAUGGCCACCCGCCCAACAUGCCUGCCCAGCCUGCUGUCCCCUGGGGUCAGAGCUGCGUGUCUCAAGGUUCCUGGGGUCAAAGCUGCGUGUCUCGAGCUUUGUCACUUCACCUCGGAGCAAUCCUGUCUGCUGUGACAUCAGAACCAGUUCUGCUGGACCAGCACAGGGGAGGGACCGGGGAAGGGACCAUGAGAGGGGGACACAGGUCCAGCCCCACAGGAGAGGGCACAUCCAAGAGAGCCUCAAUUAACUCAUCUGUCCACCCCAGCGUGCGUGCAUGCACACACACACAUAGAUACACACACCCCUCCAGCCCCGUCCAUCCGCUGGUCCCUGGAUCCAGCUCUUCUCCUAGAAACCAACGGACAAGCUUUUUAUCGUCACCGUGGCUUCUCCCUUUACAGACAGCCAUGCUGCCGCAUCAUCAAGGCCAGGCUGGGAGCAGCUGUCCAGCCACCACGAUCUCCCAAGAGCCUUCAUGACCCAGAAGAGGCAUUCACAGUCCCUUAGAAGAAGCAGGUGGCACACAGGAUAAGAUGUCCUGGUCCUCCUCCCCAGAACGUGGGGACACUUUUGUUUACAGGGCACAGGGCGAGCUGGGUUUCUGGGGCUCAUUACUGAUGCUCAUCAGUUCAUCCUUAAACAGGUGGAAGUGCAAGAGGAUUCUGGGAGUCCAGUGGAAUCACCAGGAUCCUUAGAAGAGUAAGAAAGAGACAGGAGAUGGAGAAACAGCAGCAUGAGAGCAACACGGCCCAGAGUUCCCACUGUGCCUCCAUGGGACGGGUGGCGUUGGGGCAGCGUCAGAUGCAGGUUGGAUCCCCCGCCUGGCAUGGUGGGUUAAAGAUCCAGCACCGUGGCAGCUGAAGCUCAGAUCUGAUUCCUGGCCCAGGAACUUCCAUGUGCUGUGCAGUGGCCAAAAAAAAAAAAAAAAAAAAGAAGGAAAGAGAAAAAAAGGAAAAGGAAAGAGAAAAAAAGGAAAAGGAAAGGAAAAAAAAAAAGAAGGAUACGAUUCAACAGUGCCCUCUUCCUUGACAAGCCCAGGCAUUCGGGCGGCUUCCAGAAGCUGGAAAAGGCCAGAAAACAGAUUCUGUCCUGGAGCCUCCCAAAGGCGGAAGGUCCUGCCCGCACCUGGAGUUUUCACCGCGUGACACCUGCUUUUCAGAUUCCUAACCCUGGGAACUGCAGGCUGAUGAAUGCACGCUGUUUUACGCCACUGAGGGUGGGCUAAUGUGUAAUGGGAGUCCCUGCUCAAAUGCACGACCUCCACCAGCUCCUCGCAAUGUGUGCCUCGUGUUCUGAGCCUGUCUCGUGCGCAGGCACCAUGCAAAUUCCUUCCAGGCGGUUUGGGUGGCGUCACAAGGAGGCACUCUGUGCAUGAGGUGUGGACGCACCAGGUCGGCUGCAAGGAGCAAGCGCCAACUCCAUGCAAAGACCAGCGCCAUCCGGCCCUAAAGAUGAGAUGAGCCUGUGAUUGGAAAAGAUGACCAUGAUGGGGGUGGGGGUGCGGGUGGGGGGAGGGUGAUGCUUGUCUUGGUUCUGAUCAGCCCAGUCUACCUGGAGUGAUGGCCAACUAUGCAUCAUGGGAAACUCCAAAGGCACUGCGGUACCAUGUGAUGCAUUAACAGGUUCACGGGAUUAUGGGCUGGACAGUGACCCCUCACCAAAGAAUUUCAUGUUGAAAUCUUAACCCCCAGGACCUCAGGAUGGGGCUAUGAUAGGAGACGGGUCUUUCAAGUGGAGAUGAGAUACAUGAGGUCACGAGGGGGGUCCUGAUGCCCCAGGACGGGGGUCCUUAGAAGAAGAGGAGGUCAGGACACAGACACGCACAGAGGGACGGCCCUGUGAGGGCACAGGGAGGAGACAGCCAUUGACACGCCAAGGAGAGAGGCCUCGGGAGGGACCCGCCCUGCCCAUCCCAGGGGCUGAGACUCCAGCCUCUAGGAUGGGGAAAGAAUGUCUGUUGUUUAAGCUCCCAGGUCUGUGGUACAUGGCUUCUCCAAGCAAACUCCUGCAACAGAGUCCAUCCAGGGAGUUCCUGUUGUAUCACAGUGGAAACAAAUCCGACUAGAAACCAGGAGGAUGCAGGUUCGAUCCCCGGCCUCGCUCAGUGGGUUAAGGACCCAACAUUGCCGUGCGCUGUGGUGUAGGUCGCAGACGCGGGUCAGAUCCCGAGUGGCUGCGGCUGUGGCGCAGGCCCACAGCUGUAGGUCGAUUCGACCCCUAGCCUGGGCACCUCCAUGUGCCGCAGGUGCUGCCCUAAAACAACAAAGAAAGGAAGUGAAGAUGGGGAUGAUGGCAGAGGCAUGAGGAUAAAGACAGGGAGAUGCGGGCACGUGGCCACCGGCGAGGAGAGGUGCUGAUGAAGGCUGUGGUGAUGAGGCUG